UUUGAAGAAGGUUGAUCAAUUUAUAUGUAUAUAUAUAGAAUUGACAAUUUUAAUAGUCAAUGUGAUGUGCUUGUAAAUUUAACAGUAUAAAACAAUAUAAAUCUGAUAAAAUUUUUAUAAUUUUUUUUUUCAUUAUUUAGAGUAAGACCGGUACCUCUGAUCUUAAAUUUAAGUCUUUUACCAUCAUAUUUUAUGAGAUUUUUAUUUUCAGCCGUUCAUUUUUAGAUUACUCAUUUGAUAGAUAAAUGAUAUCAAAAAAUUAUAAAAUUUAUUUCCAACAGUAUAGAUCAAGUCUAAUAAAAUCGAUCAUCAAUUCGAAAGCUACAUCAUCGAAACAACUUGACAGCACGGAGGCCUCCGUGCUACUGAUAAUAUAGCAACC
RNAcentral lists this long non-coding RNA (382 nucleotides) under Ananas comosus (pineapple). RNAcentral describes it as "long non-coding RNA (ACOM_LNC014504)". Lineage: Eukaryota; Viridiplantae; Streptophyta; Magnoliopsida; Poales; Bromeliaceae. The record is from RNAcentral.